RNAcentral lists this ribosomal RNA (250 nucleotides) under uncultured Acidimicrobiia bacterium. Its description in RNAcentral is "partial 16S ribosomal RNA". It matches the Rfam family "Bacterial small subunit ribosomal RNA", at positions 524 to 772 of the family's 1533-position model. Lineage: Bacteria; Bacillati; Actinomycetota; Acidimicrobiia. The record is from RNAcentral.
UACGUAGGGGGCGAGCGUUGUCCGGAUUUAUUGGGCGUAAAGAGCUCGUAGGCGGUUGGGCAAGUCACGUGUGAAAUCUCCACGCUCAACGUGGAGGCGCCACGUGAGACUGCCCUGACUCGAGUCCGGUAGGGGAGCGUGGAAUUCCCGGUGUAGCGGUGAAAUGCGCAGAGAUCGGGAGGAACACCCGUAGCGAAGGCGGCGCUCUGGGCCGGUACUGACGCUGAGGAGCGAAAGCGUGGGGAGCAAA